AUGAACGCUGGCGGCGUGCCUAAUACAUGCACGUCGAGCGAACGGACGAGAAGCUUGCUUUUCUGAUGUUAGCGGCGGACGGGUGAGUAACACGUGGAUAACCUACCUAUAAGACUGGGAUAACUUCGGGAAACCGGAGCUAAUACCGGAUAAUAUUUUGAACCGCAUGGUUCAAAAGUGAAAGACGGUCUUGCUGUCACUUAUAGAUGGAUCCGCGCUGCAUUAGCUAGUUGGUAAGGUAACGGCUUACCAAGGCAACGAUGCAUAGCCGACCUGAGAGGCGGAGCGCCCACAUGGGAAGGACGCCGGGCACCGGCCUCCUCGGGGAGGCACGAGAGGGGAAUAUUGUGAAGGGGAGGGAAACCUGGGGGAACGCCCCCGAGGGAGAGACGAAGGCGUUCGGUGCGAAAACAUUUUUUUUGGGGGAUAAACAGAUGUAGAAUAAGCUUUGCCCUCCUUGACGGUAACUAAUAAAAAACCCACGGCUAACUCCGCG
Molecule: ribosomal RNA, 496 nt
Filed under: uncultured bacterium
Lineage: Bacteria
Description: partial 16S ribosomal RNA
Rfam family: Bacterial small subunit ribosomal RNA
Source: RNAcentral